CCAGCCUGCCCAGUGACAUAUUUCAACGGCCGCAGUACUUUGACCGCGCGAAGGUAGCAUAAUCACUUGUCCUUUAAAUGGGGACUUGUAUCAACGGCAUCACGAGGGUUCCACUGUCUCCUUUCUCUAAUCAGUGAAACUAAUCCCCCCGUGAAGAAGCGGGGAUAAACCUAUAAGACGAGAAGACCCCAUGGAGCUUUAAACUAACCACAUCCCCGCUUAUCAUACCCUCUCAAUAACCGGGGGCCUGUAGGCUCAGUUUUAGGUUGGGGUGACCCUGGAGUACAAUUAAGCCUCCAUGAUGAAUGAGACUGCUCUCUUAUCUAAGAAAUACACCUCUAAGAAUUAAUAUAUUAAUGUAAAAUGAUCCGAUAAUCGAUCAACGGACCAAGUUACCCUGGGGAUAACAGCGCAAUCCAUUUUAAGAGCCCCUAUCGACAAAUGGGUUUACGACCUCGAUGUUGGAUCAGGAUAUCCCAGUGGUGCAACAGCUACUAAAGGUUUGUUUGUUCAACAAUUAA
Molecule: ribosomal RNA, 521 nt
Filed under: Gephyromantis lomorina
Lineage: Eukaryota; Metazoa; Chordata; Amphibia; Anura; Mantellidae
Description: partial large subunit ribosomal RNA
Rfam family: Bacterial large subunit ribosomal RNA
Source: RNAcentral